Molecule: ribosomal RNA, 198 nt
Filed under: uncultured bacterium
Lineage: Bacteria
Description: partial 16S ribosomal RNA
Rfam family: Bacterial small subunit ribosomal RNA
Source: RNAcentral
ACGCUCGACACCUACAGGAGGCAGCAGUGGGGAAUAUUGCACAAUGGGGGAAACCCUGAUGCAGCAACGCCGCGUGAGUGAAGAAGUAUUUCGGUAUGUAAAGCUCUAUCAGCAGGGAAGAUAAUGACGGUACCUGACUAAGAAGCUCCGGCUAAAUACGUUCCAGCAGCCGCGGUAAUCUGAGCGGGCUGGCAAGGC